Molecule: ribosomal RNA, 253 nt
Filed under: uncultured bacterium
Lineage: Bacteria
Description: partial 16S ribosomal RNA
Rfam family: Bacterial small subunit ribosomal RNA
Source: RNAcentral
UACAGAGGUCUCAAGCGUUGUUCGGAUUCAUGGGGCGUAAAGGGUGCGUAGGGGGUGAUGCAAGUCUGGGGUGAAAUCUCGGAGCUCAACUCCGAAAUUGCACCGGAUACUGCGUGACUCGAGGACUGUAGAGGAGAUCGGAAUUCACGGUGUAGCAGUGAAAUGCGUAGAUAUCGUGAGGAAGACCAGUUGCGAAGGCGGAUCUCUGGGCAGUUCCUGACACUGAGGCACGAAGGCCAGGGGAGCAAACGGG